UGCGUAGGCGGGCUAAUAAGUCAGUGGUGAAAUCCUGCGGCUCAACCGUAGAACUGCCAUUGAUACUGAUAUUCUUGCAUGUAGUUGAGGUAGGCGGAAUGUGUAAUGUAGCGGUGAAAUGCUUAGAUAUUACACAGAACACCGAUUGCGAAGGCAGCUUACUAAACUAUGAUUGACGCUGAGGCACGAAAGCGUGGGGAGCGAACAGGAUUAGAUACCCUGGUAGUCC
This 229-nucleotide ribosomal RNA is filed under the name uncultured bacterium. RNAcentral's name for it is "partial 16S ribosomal RNA". It matches the Rfam family "Bacterial small subunit ribosomal RNA", at positions 568 to 796 of the family's 1533-position model. The record is from RNAcentral.